Long non-coding RNA from Sarcophilus harrisii (Tasmanian devil), 734 nucleotides. RefSeq lists it as uncharacterized. NCBI's taxonomy places the organism in Eukaryota, Metazoa, Chordata, Mammalia, Dasyuromorphia, Dasyuridae. The transcript has 3 exons. The record is from RefSeq and is a predicted model, not a curated record.
GGGGCGGCCCCGAGGGGCGGGCCCGGGGGGGAGAGGGCUGGUCGAGGAGGAGGACCGGGGGGCUCCGGGGCUGGGCUAAGGGAGGCCACGCAUUGAAGAAAGGUAGCAGACGGGAACCAGCUGGCGGGACCGGGUGCGGAGGCUGCUCGCGAGGGCUGGCCCGGGCUCCAGACCCCUUCCAGGAGCCAUGUGGGGGGCCACCCAGUUUGGGAAGAACAGCUUUCCCAGGAACCGGGAAUGUACAGGAGCUUUCCCAGAAGUAAAGAAGAAGGAACAUGAUUUCAAUGUUAUUGUUUUCCCUCCUACACUCUUAGAAUGAAAUGGCCUGGAACCCACUCAAAGAAAUUGUCAUCUAGUCCAUUCAAAAGAAGAUCUCCCUAACACCAGAUUCUCAGAUAUCACUCUGAAAAGAGUUUCAUAUACUGCUUGUGAAGAGUGGUCUCAGAGUGAAUAGAAUGGUGACUUGCUUACUCAAUUCUUCUGGAAUGUUAACGGAAAAUUGUAUUUUUAUAUAUUAUGAUUUUUGUCCUUCGGGUUUCCUGUAAAUGUUACUUAAGAUUGGCUUGAGGCAGAGCCAUGUUGGAGAAUAUGGGCAAAAUCUGUCAUUUUGGACAUCUCUUUCUCUAAACCAGAAAUGACUUUAGAUAUUAGAUUAAUGUUAAAUUAACAAAAUGUGUUGGUGGGGCUUUUUUUUAAUUUUUUAAAGAGGUCUUUUACAAAGAAAAUAGUAACCA